RNAcentral lists this ribosomal RNA (238 nucleotides) under uncultured bacterium. RNAcentral's name for it is "partial 16S ribosomal RNA". It matches the Rfam family "Bacterial small subunit ribosomal RNA", at positions 100 to 334 of the family's 1533-position model. The record is from RNAcentral.
CCGGCACGGGUGAGUAACGCGUAUGCAACUUGCCUAUCAGAGGGGGAUAACCCGGCGAAAGUCGGACUAAUACCGCAUGAAGCAGGGGCCCCGCAUGGGGAUAUUUGCUAAAGAUUCAUCGCUGAUAGAUAGGCAUGCGUUCCAUUAGGCAGUUGGCGGGGUAACGGCCCACCAAACCGACGAUGGAUAGGGGUUCUGAGAGGAAGGUCCCCCACAUUGGUACUGAGACACGGACCAA